RNAcentral lists this long non-coding RNA (663 nucleotides) under Homo sapiens (human). RNAcentral's name for it is "HSALNT0009028". The record is from RNAcentral. Lineage: Eukaryota; Metazoa; Chordata; Mammalia; Primates; Hominidae.
AGACUGAAAAUGUCAUAAAUGAAGAAAUAAUUGGAGAAAAUCAUUGUGAAGAAGUAUGAAUGGACGGUAACACAAAUGGAGUAAGACUUAAAGAGAUAUAGGCAUACCAAAUGCUGACAUGAUUUUUAUGAGUUGUGAAGAUUUAAAGAAAUCUGUUUGAAUAACAAUUUUUGAGGCCACCUAUAAAUUUGUGUUCAUUACUUCCACUAAGCAAAGUUCUUUUGAUUAUUCUUUGAUCAUUGAAAUGUUUUGUAUUUUAUUUAAUUUACAGCAACAAAAAUAACUCUUGAGAAGGAAUAAAUAUGAACCGAUGGAGAUAAUUAUUUAGUAAUGUUUGAAAUAUAUGUUUUAGAACAUUGCACUUAUUAAUGAGUAUAAGAAUAUUAUGAAAACAGAAAAAUAAUGAGCCUUGUAAGAGUUCACACAAUUAUUUUAUAUAAUUGGUAUUCUACAUUCAAGGAGAGCUUGAAUAUAGAAAUUAAAGAAGCAUAUGCUCAUUUGAAAAGAGACAAAUCUAAUAGUGUAAUUAAAGCUUGUGCCUUAUAACACAAUAAAAAUAUCCAGAAGGAUUUUAUCCUUAAUUGUGACAUAAAAUGAUUUCUAACCUUUAUUUUUUGAGUCAGAAAAAAACGAGGAAGCAUGGGUUCUUCUUUGCUAUACGAA